Molecule: ribosomal RNA, 492 nt
Filed under: uncultured bacterium
Lineage: Bacteria
Description: bacterial SSU rRNA
Rfam family: Bacterial small subunit ribosomal RNA
Source: RNAcentral
AAAUGAAUAGACGGGGGCCCGCACAAGCGGUGGAGCAUGUGGUUUAAUUCGAUGCAACGCGAAGAACCUUACCAGGAUUUGACAUCCCUUGACAGUUGUAGAGAUACAACCUCUCUUUUAGAGCAAGGAGACAGGUGGUGCAUGGUUGUCGUCAGCUCGUGUCGUGAGAUGUUGGGUUAAGUCCCGCAACGAGCGCAACCCCUAUUUUUAGUUGCCAUCAUUCAGUUGGGCACUCUAAAGAUACUGCCGGCUAAAAGUCGGAGGAAGGUGGGGAUGACGUCAAAUCAUCAUGCCCCUUAUGUCCUGGGCUACACACGUGCUACAAUGGCCUGUACAGAGGGCAGCAAAGUGGCGACAUGGAGCGAAUCUCAGAAAACAGGUCUCAGUUCGGAUUGUAGGCUGCAACUCGCCUACAUGAAGUCGGAAUCGCUAGUAAUCGCAGGUCAGCAUACUGCGGUGAAUACGUUCCCGGGCCUUGUACACACCGCCCGU